RNAcentral lists this ribosomal RNA (425 nucleotides) under uncultured bacterium. RNAcentral describes it as "partial 16S ribosomal RNA". It matches the Rfam family "Bacterial small subunit ribosomal RNA", at positions 354 to 796 of the family's 1533-position model. The record is from RNAcentral.
GUUAGGAAUAUUGGACAAUGGGCGCAAGCCUGAUCCAGCCAUGCCGCGUGAGUGAUGAAGGCCUUCGGGUUGUAAAGCUCUUUAGUCCACGAAUAUAAUGACUGUAGUGGAAGAAUAAGCCCCGGCUAACUUCGUGUCAGCAGCAGCGGUAAUACGAAGGGGGCGAGCGUUAUUCGGAAUCACUGGGCGUAAAGCGUGCGUAGGCUGUUUUGUACGUCAGAAGUGAAAGCCCAGGGCUUAACCCUGGCAUUGCUUUUGAAACUACAAGACUCGAAUUCGGGAGAGGAUAGCGGAAUUGUCAGUGUAGCAGUGAAAUGCGUAGAUAUUGACACGAACACCAGUGGCGCAAGCGGCUAUCUGGACCGAUAUUGACGCUGAGGCACGAAAGCGUGGGGAGCAAACAGGAUUAGAUACCCCGGUAGUCC